This is a transfer RNA of Ovis aries (sheep), 74 nucleotides long. It matches the Rfam family "tRNA". Rfam says of the family: Transfer RNA (tRNA) molecules are approximately 80 nucleotides in length. Their secondary structure includes four short double-helical elements and three loops (D, anti-codon, and T loops). The record is from Rfam. Lineage: Eukaryota; Metazoa; Chordata; Mammalia; Artiodactyla; Bovidae.
UCCCUGGUGGUCCAGUGGCCAAGACCCUGAGCUCCCAAUGCAGAGGACCUGGGGUUCGAUUCCUGGUCAGGGAA